ACGGGUGAGUAAUGUAUCGGAACGUGCCCAGUAGCGGGGGAUAACUACGCGAAAGCGUAGCUAAUACCGCAUACGCCCUACGGGGGAAAGCAGGGGAUCGCAAGACCUUGCACUAUUGGAGCGGCCGAUAUCGGAUUAGUUAGUUGGUGGGGUAACGGCUCACCAAGGCGACGAUCCGUAGCUGGUUUGAGAGGACGACCAGCCACACUGGGACUGAGACACGGCCCAGACUCCUAUGGGAGGCAGCAGUGGGGAAUUUUGGACAAUGGGGGAAACCCUGAUCCAGCCAUCCCGCGUGUGCGAUGAAGGCCUUCGGGUUGUAAAGCACUUUUGGCAGGAAAGAAACGUCAUGGGCUAAUACCCCGUGAAACUGACGGUACCUGCAGAAUAAGCACCGGCUAACUACGUGCCAGCAGCCGCGGUAAUACGUACGGUGCAAGCGUUAAUCGGAAUUACUGGGCGUAAAGCGUGCACAGGCGGUUCGGAAAGAAAGAUGUGAAAU
Molecule: ribosomal RNA, 502 nt
Filed under: uncultured Burkholderiales bacterium
Lineage: Bacteria; Pseudomonadati; Pseudomonadota; Betaproteobacteria; Burkholderiales
Description: SSU rRNA
Rfam family: Bacterial small subunit ribosomal RNA
Source: RNAcentral